Arachis ipaensis is the source of this 1207-nucleotide long non-coding RNA. RefSeq lists it as uncharacterized. NCBI's taxonomy places the organism in Eukaryota, Viridiplantae, Streptophyta, Magnoliopsida, Fabales, Fabaceae. The record is from RefSeq and is a predicted model, not a curated record.
AUGUUUUGUUACAUAACCUAUGCUAAUAGUUCUUAUAUUUGGAAUGGAAGUAGUGCACUGCAUUCUGAAUUCAUGAAACAUAGGCAUUAAUCAUGUGGAAAUGCAAUAAUACAGCUAUAUUUCACUGUCAUCACUUGUAGUGUUCUGUUAAACAAAAUAUCUUUACUAUGAAACCCAGUACAGCACAUAAACUUGGGGCAGAAUCAGUUGUCUUUAAUUUGGAUUCAUUAUGAGGUGGUUUAGGAGUGUAUUUUAAUUUUCUCUAUGUUUUCUUUUUGUAUCUUUGUAGUGGCUGGACUGCUAAACCUUCUUCCCCAAGGUACCAUCGGUGCUAUUUCUGCUCAUUCAGAGGAAGACGAUGACACUGGGCUCUCUGUUUCGUCUCGUCUGCCAGAUUUGCUCGCCAUCUCCUCAUACUCCUGCGUGGUUCAAAUCUGCUGCAGCUAUAUAGAUUCCUGAUGAUGAUAUUGGACUUUAUGAGGUUGCCAAGAAAAUCGAAGACUUAGUAUGGCUUCGCCAUCUCGAGGAUCCUCUUGCUCCUCCUUACUCUUCUCCUUCUUGGCCUCAACCUCGGUACCCAGUUGGUCAGUCCCUUUCUACAAGACCAGAUAUCAUUGGUGUUGAGAUGUCCAAGGUUAGAUUAAAAACUGCAUGUCUGUUGCUAUUUUCUUAUUGGUGGACAUUUCUUUCUAGCAAUGGAUUCCAAAGGAAGGGGCAAUGAAUUCCAAAGGAAGGGCUUAUUACUGGUUAUGAGCAGUCAUAAUCUCUUGUUGGAUGAAGAUAAUACAUGGUUAUAAGUCAAAUUAUCAGUGACUUGGUGUUAAGUAUGUUCUUUAGCAGUAAUGCUAAUUUGAGUGUAAAAAGGUAUUUUUGUUUUCUAUCUUAGACUCGUACAGUAUCUACCUCUGACUCUGCUGAACUCUCUUUUUUGGGCCAUGUACAAGUACAACAUAAUUCCAUUUCACUGUGUUUGUAAUGCUAUUUACAUUUUAAGAUUUUGAAGUUUGGAUAACUGUCUUGGCAAUUUAUUCCUAUACUUUCUUCUUGGCGUCGUCUCAGAAUUGUACUUUUUCUUGUGAGGCCUAAAGCAUGUGCUUCUAUAUAUAAGCUUAGAAAAGUGAGGCUUGGUUCAGUUUGUUAUAGAGUGAGAAGCAAGGUUGUUGCAUUAUCUUGCUAUAUAUAAGCUUAGACUCUAGAAUCAGAAUGU